CCUACGGGGGGCAGCAGUGGGGAAUAUUGGACAAUGGGGGCAACCCUGAUCCAGCCAUGCCGCGUGUGUGAAGAAGGCCCUCGGGUUGUAAAGCACUUUCAGUGAGGAAGAACGCCUGGUGGUUAAUACCCAUCAGGAAAGACAUCACUCACAGAAGAAGCACCGGCUAACUCCGUGCCAGCAGCCGCGGUAAUACGGAGGGUGCAAGCGUUAAUCGGAAUUACUGGGCGUAAAGCGCGCGUAGGUGGCUUGAUAAGCCGGUUGUGAAAGCCCCGGGCUCAACCUGGGAACGGCAUCCGGAACUGUCAAGCUAGAGUGCAGGAGAGGAAGGUAGAAUUCCCGGUGUAGCGGUGAAAUGCGUAGAGAUCGGGAGGAAUACCAGUGGCGAAGGCGGCCUUCUGGACUGACACUGACACUGAGGUGCGAAAGCGUGGGUAGCAAACAGGAUUAGAUACCCGGGUAGUC
This 465-nucleotide ribosomal RNA is filed under the name Vreelandella stevensii. RNAcentral describes it as "partial 16S ribosomal RNA". It matches the Rfam family "Bacterial small subunit ribosomal RNA", at positions 338 to 795 of the family's 1533-position model. The record is from RNAcentral. Lineage: Bacteria; Pseudomonadati; Pseudomonadota; Gammaproteobacteria; Oceanospirillales; Halomonadaceae.